UCUUUGGUCUUAAGAAUGCUGGUUUUAAGAAUGAGCAUGGCAAGUCUUUGUGAAAUAACUCCGAUGAGAAGAA
RNAcentral lists this transfer RNA (73 nucleotides) under Prunus dulcis (almond). Its description in RNAcentral is "tRNA-Ala". The record is from RNAcentral. Lineage: Eukaryota; Viridiplantae; Streptophyta; Magnoliopsida; Rosales; Rosaceae.